UGCGAUACGUAGUGUGAAUUGCAGAAUUCCGCGAAUCAUCGAGUCUUUGAACGCAAGUUGCGCCCGAGGCUUGCCCUCGGGCAUUUCUGUCAGAGCGUCAC
This 101-nucleotide ribosomal RNA is filed under the name Schistidium sp. clade 1a LLF-2016. RNAcentral's name for it is "partial 5.8S ribosomal RNA". It matches the Rfam family "5.8S ribosomal RNA", at positions 54 to 154 of the family's 154-position model. Rfam says of the family: 5.8S ribosomal RNA (5.8S rRNA) is a component of the large subunit of the eukaryotic ribosome. The record is from RNAcentral. RNAcentral also lists the same sequence under 2 other names. Lineage: Eukaryota; Viridiplantae; Streptophyta; Bryopsida; Grimmiales; Grimmiaceae.